AGUACUACCUUCGUGAUCCCACACUCCUAAUCAUAUAAGCUAAAGUAUUGCACAUUCAAUCUUUAGAAGAUAUAAACAAAACAUAAAUAUAGAUAGAUUAUCUUUCCAUUAGGUUGAGCCAUCUGAUCUGACAAAUGCUACACUCAUGAUCCAUCAACUUUGUCUUGCUCACUAUGCUUAAGGUUAGAGAAGAACAAAUACACUUUUGGUUCUGUUGGUGUUUUCCACCAACAGGGCCCAUGCACUUGAUCUCUACCUUGUCUCUAUGAGCAGGAACACUUCGAGCAUAAUAUGAAGGAGUUUUACAACUCCCAGAUUCCACC
This 323-nucleotide long non-coding RNA is filed under the name Sorghum bicolor (sorghum). Its description in RNAcentral is "long non-coding RNA (SBIC_LNC004516)". The record is from RNAcentral. Lineage: Eukaryota; Viridiplantae; Streptophyta; Magnoliopsida; Poales; Poaceae.